This 388-nucleotide ribosomal RNA is filed under the name uncultured bacterium. RNAcentral's name for it is "bacterial SSU rRNA". It matches the Rfam family "Archaeal small subunit ribosomal RNA", at positions 339 to 727 of the family's 1478-position model. The record is from RNAcentral.
GCGCGAAAACUUUACAAUGCCGGCAACGGCGAUAAGGGAACCUCGAGUGCCAGGAUACAAUCCUGGCUGUCGUAAUGCCUAAAAAGCAUUGCAUAGCAAGGGCCGGGCAAGACCGGUGCCAGCCGCCGCGGUAACACCGGCGGCUCGAGUGGUAACCGCUAUUAUUGGGUCUAAAGGGUCUGUAGCCGGCUGAAUAAGUCUCUUGGGAAAUCUGGCAGCUCAACUGUCAGGCUUUCAGGGGAUACUGUUCGGCUCGAGACCGGGAGAGGUGAGAGGUACCUCAGGGGUAGGGGUGAAAUCUUGUAAUCCUUGAGGGACCACCAGUGGCGAAGGCGUCUCACCAGAACGGAUCUGACGGCAAGGGACGAAAGCUAGGGGCACGAACCGG